AAAACGUACAUCAUGUUUGUUCCAGAAAUCGUGGCACCUCAGUUCCCUCGUAGUAUACAAAUCCAAUAUCAGAUGUUACAAUGAAAUAUUUAAUUUCCAUACUAUAUAUUUUUUUGAAAUGUAUAAACAUGGUAAAACUUUAUAUGAAGGUGUUGAUAAGGUAAAGGGAAGCAAUGAAGCCAAAAUUUAAUAAGCACUAGUUUUAUACUGCAGGGUAAUAUAUAAUGACAUGAAGUAUGAAGUGACAAAAAAUGAAAGUAAAGUUACCACAAGAGGGAGCAUUGGAGCUACAGUAGCUGUUCUAAUCCAUUAAGUGUCAUUGUCCUCACUUGAGGACAGGAUACUUUGUAAUUUAUUCGUAGCAUUUUUAACUGAUAUCUACUGUUUAUUUUAAUUUUCACUUUAACUAUAUUGUUAUGAUAACUUACUCUAAUUUUGCAACUGCUAAUUGCAAAUACAGCCCUUCGGAUGCUUUUAUGACGCUUCAAUAUAAAAUAUGCAGUUGAAGCCUACAGUGAUCAGUUUCUUGGUGUUUUCCCACCCACAGUGAUGACAAAGGUCUAUUUGCUAUGUGUUGAGCUUCAUAGCCAGUGCGACAUUUCACUGGCAGGUCUAACUUGACUGUCCUCAAAAUAGGACACAGUAGGUUGCAGUCAAAAUGAAGUAUUUACUUUUUUUCUGUGAUUUAGAAUUUAUCUGAUUACAUAAAUGCAGCUUGUGAUGUGAUUUUUUCAAAGAAAUUUGUAUUUGGUACUUGGGUUAAACAAAACCAUUAAAUCAUUUAUUUAUUUAUUUAUUCACCAGAAAGAUUGUAUUUGAAUUUUUAUUUUUUUUAAUAUUAUGAAUGACAACUUUACUCUAAAUUGUAGCAUUUUUUUUUUUCCCCCAUAAAGAGAUAAGCAUCAGUUGCAAUUACAAAAUGAGUUAUAGCCAUCUUGUUUUCAAGGCUCACAAGAACAGUACAUUGAAUAGACAGAUACAUACAGUAAGUUAGAAACAAGCAAAAUACUCAUGAUAAAUUAAAUAAUUGAAACAGACAAUAUUAAGCUCAAGACACAGAAGUAAUGAUUUGGUAAUGGGGUUUAACCAUGCAUGGUAACACUAUCUUUACAGAGUCUGACUUGUAUUCAGCUGAUGUAGAAGCAAAGGGAAAUGAAACGCUCUCAGAAAAUGAAGACAUAUCCCCUGAUCAAUGCUCCCAGGCAGCUAUGACUGCAGACUUAGGAAAGGGCCCCUGCAGAAUUUAUAAGUUUCGUGUUCACCGUGGCUAAUGGUGGGAUUUUCCACCCCACCCCUCCAACAACAUUAAAUAAGGCAGGAAACCAUGAGGGGCACUGUCUACUUCCUGCUCAAAUGAGGCCCUGGUUUUAUGGUUUUGCUAUAAUGUGGCCAUCAGACUAUUUUUUUUCCUCUCCCUGACAGAUUUAAACCUGAUGCUAUCAGUGAGGGAGAUGUUAAAAGUACAGGCUUCCUGGAACUUGAUAUACAUCUCAGACAUUGCCAGGUGAAGGGAACAUUGUCAGCCUUGGAAGGAAAAAGCAUAAUUGCCUUCCAACAGGCAGCGGGAAAACCAGAGAGGCGGUGUACAUUACCAAAGAACAUCUGGUUAAAAUAAAGGCAAAGGAAACACCUGGGAAAGU
Polyodon spathula (Mississippi paddlefish) is the source of this 1640-nucleotide long non-coding RNA. RefSeq lists it as uncharacterized. The transcript is spliced from 3 exons. Lineage: Eukaryota; Metazoa; Chordata; Actinopteri; Acipenseriformes; Polyodontidae. The record is from RefSeq and is a predicted model, not a curated record.